CAUUUCUCACUAAUUGGUAUUUGCAUGGCAAAUCCCGUGUAAAGACAUGAUCAUUUGCAUGUUCUGUGGGUAAUGAUAUUUGAUGGUGUCAACUUAUUAUGGCCUUAAUCACCACUCAAUUUCUUGCCUUCAAAGCUCCCAAUCAUGACAAGACCAAAAUAACUCCCCUAACCAAGCUCUUGCCAGGGUCUCUCCUAGAAAGGCGAAUACAAAGGGAUCCCCUGUCCCUCUGUGGGGAACCUUUCUCUACCUCUAGGCUGCUCAAUGUGGAGAAAGAGAAUCCUGGCUUAUAAUUUACUGGCUAAGCAAGUCAGUUUAACCACUGAGACCUCAGUUUACUCUUCUGCAAAAUGACUCCAUUUCCCCUGGGAUCUGUUCUAACUUAACAUCAAGAAUCUCAGAAUAACUUAGGCAGGAUCCCUUCAAAACAGCAGGCAUUUCCUGAAUGUGGCUUCCUUUCAGAGAAGGGGAGAAACAUCCUUAUAGGGGAAGGAACCUUAAAGUGGGAAUCAGGAGAACAGAUGCACAGUAUAGUUACAUAGCCCAGCUUGGUUAACUUUUUAGAACUGAGAUAUCUGCACAAUAAGCAACACACAGUUGCUCCCUAGGCAAGUCUCUCUGACUCUCUGUAUGUCAUUUUCCAGCCUUAGAUCUGGGUUCAACUCUUCCCUUUAACUCCUCCUAGUUGUAGGACCAUGGGGCAAGUCACAUCAUGUCUAUGAGCCUCAGUUUCUUCAUGUGUUCUUGUGAGACUCAUCUGAGAUAAUGGGUAUAGAGGACUUCAUAAACUUUGCAGCAACAUGUCAUCACAUUUUAUACAUGAGUAGAUUAAAGACCAGAAAAAUGAGAUGACAUCAUCACCAUCACCAUCAUUGCCAUCACCAUCACCAUCAUCGCCAUCACCAUCACCAUCAUCGCCAUCACCAUCACCAUCAUCGCCAUCACCAUCACCAUCAUCGCCAUCACCAUCAUCGCCAUCGCCAUCACCAUCAUCGCCAUCGCCAUCAUCGCCAUCGCCAUCGCCAUCAUCGCCAUCGCCAUCACCAUCAUCGCCAUCACCAUCACCAUCAUCGCCAUCACCAUCACCAUCAUUGCCAUCACCAUCACCAUCAUCGCCAUCACCAUCACCAUCAUUGCCAUCACCAUCACCAUCAUCACCAUCACCAUCAUCAUCAUCAUCGCUACCAGAUCAGCUCCAGGACCCAUCCCACAUGCAUCCUUCUGCCUUUUAAUGAUCUCUAUGCAUGCUGGGAAGACAUCUACUGCAGCUGUUUUCAAGGUUCGGGUGUUGCACCUGGUAAGAUGUGCCAUCUCCCAUUUAUCUCAUCUGGGCAAAGAGGCAAGAUAGGGACCCGGGCAUAAAUCACUUGGUGUCUGCUAACACUGCCUUCCUGCAGUGGGAAUAAGAAGAUACCAGAGCCCAGGGAAGCAGAGAAGAGAAAUACAGCCAAAACAAGGUGUCUUCUGCUAAGAGCUCAUUGGAGAGCUCUGAGAGAGCCAGCUGUAAUGAGGGCAUGGGCUAAUUAAAUAAAUAUUGGAAGACUGGGGUUCAAAACCCCCAAAUCUA
Monodelphis domestica (gray short-tailed opossum) is the source of this 1567-nucleotide long non-coding RNA. RefSeq lists it as uncharacterized. The record is from RefSeq and is a predicted model, not a curated record. NCBI's taxonomy places the organism in Eukaryota, Metazoa, Chordata, Mammalia, Didelphimorphia, Didelphidae.